ACGAGCCGGUAAAACCUCAAAACACCUGAGAACUACGAACUAAAGUUUAAAACUCAAAGGACUUGGCGGUUUUUUAGAUCUUCCUGGAGGAGCUUGCUAUCUAACCGAUAACCCCCGAAAGACCUCACCAGCUUUUGAAAAUUCAACUUGUAUACCAUCGUCGUCAGUCUACCUCUUAAGAGAAGUACACCCAACGGUAAUCAGACCCAGCACGUCAGAUCGAGGUGCAGUUAAUAAGCUGGGGAUAAGUGAGCUACAAUAUUGUAUCAGAAAGAAUACACCCCACCACCACUUUGGAUUAUCCAAUGAAAAAAAAUCGGAAAUAGGAUUCAGCAGUAAUAACUACAAGAAAAUAGUUAUGAAACAAAUCAAGCUCUAAAAUACGCAC
RNAcentral lists this ribosomal RNA (388 nucleotides) under Diplodontias miliaris. RNAcentral describes it as "partial 12S ribosomal RNA". It matches the Rfam family "Bacterial small subunit ribosomal RNA", at positions 874 to 1386 of the family's 1533-position model. Lineage: Eukaryota; Metazoa; Echinodermata; Asteroidea; Valvatida; Odontasteridae. The record is from RNAcentral.